AACGAACGCUGGCGGCAUGCCUAACACAUGCAAGUCGAACGAGACCUUCGGGUCUAUUGGCGCACGUGUGCGUAACGCGUGGUAACCUGCCCUUAGGUUCGGUGUAACUCCCCGAAAGGUGUGCUAAGACCGGAUAAUGUCUUCGCACCAAGGAGUUAUCGCCUUUGGAUGGGCCCGCGUUGGAUUAGCUGGUUGGUAGGGUAAAAGCCUACCAAGGCGACGAUCCAUAGCUGGUCUGAGAGGAGGAUCAGCCACGCUGGAGAUGAGACACGGCCCAGAAUGGUACGGAAGGGAGCAGUGGGGAGUAUUGGACGAGGAGCGAAGGCGUGGUCCCGCAAUGCCGCGUAAGUGAUGAAGGCCUUAGGAUUGUGAAGCUCCUUGACCCGAGAUGAUAAUGACGGUACCGGGAGAAUAAGCACCGGCUAACUCCGUG
Molecule: ribosomal RNA, 433 nt
Filed under: uncultured bacterium
Lineage: Bacteria
Description: partial 16S ribosomal RNA
Rfam family: Bacterial small subunit ribosomal RNA
Source: RNAcentral